Long non-coding RNA from Mustela erminea (ermine), 1376 nucleotides. RefSeq lists it as uncharacterized. The record is from RefSeq and is a predicted model, not a curated record. NCBI's taxonomy places the organism in Eukaryota, Metazoa, Chordata, Mammalia, Carnivora, Mustelidae. The transcript has 3 exons.
GGCCAGCAGCCGCCGCUCUGUUCCUCUCUCCUUCUUGCUGGUGCACUGGUGCAGUAGAUGGAGCGCAGGGCCGGGGCUGAUUCUCACGAAGGCAAGCAUCCUCUCCAGUCUAGUCCCUAGAGAGAAAAAGGCCUGUGCCCAGCAGGCCAGCUCCCUGCACCCCACCAUGCCUCUGCUGGAUGUUUUCUGGGCUUGCUUCAGGGAAGUGAAGUGCUUCCCAUUGCUGCAGAGGAGGAAGAAUACCGAUUUCAGCACGGGUUACCUGAGGACACCACAUGGAGGAGAAAUUACAGAAGUUCCUCCCAGAGAACCUUGGGACUUCUCUGGAAAUCCCUUCUUCUGACCUAAUCUCUUGAGCAACUCAGGCCCCAUGAGAGCUCUGGAAGAUUGAAUCUUCCAGAGGCAAAAACUGGAGGGCAAAGCCUGAGGGAGGGGCCCUGAGUCGCUUGCCCUCCCUGGAUAGGCCUCAAGAUCUUCAUCUGGACCACGAAGGAGUGGAGCAGAUGUGCUCUGCGGGCCCACCAGCUCCAGGCUAGUCUUCUGUGGAAGUCCCCCCCCCCCGCCCCAGACUUGGCUGCUCCCUCAUGCGCUGGUCUAGAAUCUCCAGGGAACCCACCAGGCAGUAAAUGCAUAAAUAAAUCUUGCUCCCUGCCACGGUUUGCUGGCCCUUUGGACCAGUCAUAAGAAGGCAUGGAUGCAGGAGGCAGAUUAACGAUCCCUGACUCGCAGACUACUCCUCUGACAUAAACGCAAGGCCAGCUGCUAAAUGGACAGAGCCCUCAACCCCUGAGCCAUAGUGCAAGAUAAGCAUUACCAUGGGGCUGGUGGUGCACCCUGCCAGAGGAUGGGAAGAGGAGGAGAGGACUCUGUGAGUUUUGACCAGGAUAAAGGUGUAGGUACUAAGGCUGGGGAGUGGGGGUGGGGGGAUGGCCAGGGGUGGACCCAGAUAAAGGCAGAAAGAAUUGUUGAAGUUUCAAAUCUGCAGCCUACAUGAUUCAAGGGCAGGAAGAAAGACACGAAGCAGGGUGAAGGGCUAAGGGGCAAUCCUGUCACUCAUAAAGACAUAUCACUGACACUUGCACUUUUGAUCCCCAUAACAUUUUAGGGAGGUAGGUGUUAUUGUCUCCAUAUAACAAGUGAGGAAACUGAGGCCCAGAGAGGUGAUAUAACAUGUCAUCAAGUGUUCAGGCUGGCAUUCAGGGGAGCCCAGGGGUCUCAGUUGGUUAAGCUUCUGCUGUUGGCUCAGAUCAUGAUCCCGGGGUCCUGGGCUUGAGCCCUGUGUGCAUCAGCCUCUUUGCUCACCUAAGAGUCUGCUUCUUCCUCUCCUUCUGCCUCUCCCCCUGCUCAUGCACUUUCUCUCUCUUUCUCUCCCUCCC